UCAGGAUGAACGCUAGCUACAGGCUUAACACAUGCAAGUCGAGGGGCAGCAUGUUGGUUGCUUGCAACCAAUGAUGGCGACCGGCGCACGGGUGAGUAACGCGUAUCCAACCUUCCCCUUAGUAGAGGAUAGCCCGGCGAAAGUCGGAUUAAUACUCUAUGUUCUUCAAUGCGGACAUCUAAGUUGAAGCAAAGAUUUUAUCGCUAAGGGAUGGGGAUGCGUCUGAUUAGGUUGCAGGCGGGGUAACGGCCCACCUGGCCUACGAUCAGUAGGGGUUCUGAGAGGAAGGUCCCCCACACUGGUACUGAGACACGGACCAGACUCCUACGGGAGGCAGCAGUGAGGAAUAUUGGUCAAUGGGCGCGAGCCUGAACCAGCCAAGUAGCGUGCAAGGACGACUGCCCUAUGGGUUGUAAACUGCUUUUAUCAGGGAAUAAAGUGAGGCACGCGUGCCUUUUUGUAUGUACCUGAUGAAUAAGGACCGGCUAAUUCCGUGCCAGCCGCCGC
RNAcentral lists this ribosomal RNA (507 nucleotides) under uncultured bacterium. RNAcentral's name for it is "bacterial SSU rRNA". It matches the Rfam family "Bacterial small subunit ribosomal RNA", at positions 24 to 518 of the family's 1533-position model. The record is from RNAcentral.